Molecule: long non-coding RNA, 18093 nt
Filed under: Lactuca sativa (garden lettuce)
Lineage: Eukaryota; Viridiplantae; Streptophyta; Magnoliopsida; Asterales; Asteraceae
Description: long non-coding RNA (LSAT_LNC006096)
Source: RNAcentral
GAGGUGCACGAUCAUGCCUUCGCCUUCCUGCUAUCCUCUGAGGUACCUGAAACACAAUCUAAAACUGUAAGUCCAAAGCUUAGUGAGUUCCCCCAAAGUAUGAAUACACAACAAAUAACACAAAUAUAAUAACUAGAUGCAAUGGGUCCACAACUAACAUACUGGAUUACCCCUGAGCCCACAUCAUAAGUCUAUUACUCCCUGGCAUGUUCAGUCCUCAGGCUGAACACCGCUAAGCCCUCAGUAUGAGUCUGGCAUGCCCUUCCUGACUCUCAGCUUGUAUCUAGAAUGCUCAUGAGCCCUUAGUAUGAGUCUAGCAUGCCUUCCAUGACCCUCAUCUCAUAUUUGGUAUGCUCUAGGGAUUGUUGGCUACAACACAGAGCAACACAACCUCAACCCCUCCCACACAAUAUGUCGACAUAUAGCAGAUAAUUUCAUAUACAGAUAAACAGACAAUAUCAUAGGUAGUCCUACAGAUCUACCAAACUAGCAUAUAAAAACUAGCAUGCAUAUGUAUUCCAUACUCCACAUAACAACAAUUUCAGGUUAUCAAACCAAUGGCCUGACCUUGGUGCCUUCAACCCGUAAGUACAGUAAGGAAAACUCACCUGACAAGUAGCACAAAACUGAUAAGGCCUGAAUCCAAAUCUCAGCUCACAACUUAAAUGCCUACAACACCAUAUGACCAAUUCCAUCAAAACCCAAUAAUACCAAAAUUACCUUUAAAGUCAAACUUGGUCAAACAUGGUCAACUCCAAGUCAUCUGGUCAAAAUCCAUAACCGACUAAGUCAACUCAGCAGAGUUGACCAAACCAAGUCGACCCAACCAAGUCAACUCGCAAACGACUGAACCAUGUGAGUACGCAGGGUGUACAACAGAGGUACGCGCAACGUACAGAAGCUUCACAUUGACUGAAAAACGGGGACGUUGAACAGGUACGUGAGGCGUACCCUCGCAAAGUACAAAACCUUAAUAAGUUCCUAAUGGAUUAAUCACUUAAGCCCAUACUUUAGAUCCAUGGACCAAAUGCACCUUAGAGCCAUAAAGUCUAACUUUAUGAAUUUAGACGUCUCAAAAGUCCUUAAUAUGUGGUCUUAAUCCAUUAAGACCUUCCAUAAGAAGCAUGGAGCCAAACUAGCUAAAGGGACCUCAUUUUUAUGGCUUAGAACCCUUCCUAGGAUCUGAAAGGACAACCCAAAGCAUCCAACACCAAACAUGCACAACAUUGGAACAUUUAAGGACAAAAGAACAUCCUAAAGCUACAAAGAUGAGAUCUAAGCAAACCAAGCAUAAAGGUAACAACUUUUUACCUUCUGGAGCUCUCCAAGAAGAUGAUGAUGCAAGAUCUACAAGAUUGCUUUCCUCUCUAGAAUCCUUGAUGCACUUCUUUCUCCUUUAAGGACACAAAUAACACAAUUUAGGCUUAAAACUCACUUAUGGGAUUAGGGUUCUUCAAGUACGACACAAAGGCUUGGAGGCAGAAAGGGUGAGGCUGAAUGAUCCAUAAUGGUGUUUAAAUACUCUUUAAACCCUAAAAAUUAGAGUUUUACCCAGACGUUAGUACGCCUAGCGUACAAAUCUUGCUCCAAAAAUUACCAUUUUGCCACUAGGGCUACAUCUUUAUAUCGAAGGACCAAAAUGACAUACUUUAAAACCAAAAGAAGGAUUUGAAAAUACCUGAUAACCCAGGAUAUUAAAGAGAGAGGAAACUAGAAGACACGUCACAUCUUAUGACCAACGUUGAUCCUCUUGCUGUUUGCCACGUGUUAGGUGCAUAAUGCUCCGCGUCCACCCCUACUUAAAGGUGUGCGCGUCGCGCCCCUGCCGCAUGUGCACGUAUUUUUAUGUUUUUUUAAAAACCAUAUCUUUCUCAUAUGAGCUCCGUUUUUGACGUUAUUUAUAUCUACGCUUAGCUACCGAUGAGUAAUAAACCUUUCAUUUAGACACCGUCAACUAAUUAUCGCUUUAAUUUUAAUUUUAUAUUUUUAAAGAGCUUAAACUUAAAACCCGUAUAAAAAUCAUAACUAUUUACGAACUCCGUUCUCGACAGUCUUUAUAUCGACGAUGUUGUAUUCCUGAGAUCUUCAACUCUCAUUUACAUUGUUUUGAUUAACAUUACACCGAAACUUUGAAAAAUCAUAGUUUCCUCAUACGAAAUUAGAUUUUGGAUGUUUUUUAUAUGCACACUCUCACUUUUACGAUGACUACAACGUUUGUUUAGAUUACACCUAUUUCCGUUGAGCGUAUAUACCUGGGAUCCCGAUCCAUGCGCAUUCGUCAAGUACAUCAGGCGUACUGGUGGUAUGUUUAGAGUACUCACCUGGAAACCUUUUAUGGAGUUGGGCCUAUAUUGGGCUUUAAAUGUCUUUUGGACUUUAAGCUAGUUUAGAAUUGGACCAUGUUAUGUUAGGCCCAUUAAAGGAUGGGUAAAGCGGCCUUUUUACACUAGGAGUCAGGGUUUAGAAUCUGGACCCUCAAUUUGGGUUAGCAACCUAAUUGCUAAUUAGGGUUGCAUUAUUGAUCUCUAGACAGAGGUGAGUUUCCUUCAUUGUACUCGUGGGUCGAAGGCACCAAUGUCGGCCCAUUAGAUUAUGUUUGUAGGAUGAUAAUUGUCUUCAGGACAAUUUCCUGUUAUGCCAGUAUAUGCUUGUUGUCUCUAUGACUCUUCCAGUUAUGAUUAUAUGCUAGUUGUAAAGGUGAAAAACCAAUAUCGGUUAAAAGAGACUGAAGGGGUUGAAAUACAGCCAAUACCGGUUGAAAGAGACCAAAGAGGUUGAAAUAUACCUAGUACCGAUUGAAAGAGACCGAAUGAGGUGAAAUAGACCCAGUGUUGCUUUGACUAUUAUGUAUGUACGGUCUGGUGUAUUUUGAUGGAGCUUACUAAGCUUUGUGCCUACAACUUUCAAUUUAUUAUUCAGGUACUUCUAGCUCAAAAGGGAAUGACUCAGCUUAAUCGCAACACAUCCGCCCAUCACACCACUCUAACUUCUUACUGUAUCUAAACUCAUUAAAAAUGAAGAUUUUUUUAUUAGAUUUAAAUAAAUAAUAAAUGGGGAUUUGCUUAUAAAAGCUACAAGUUAUCAAAGUCUUGCAAUGAGUUAAAACACACAAUGAUUAAAAUGGGAAUAAUAAUUGUAAGAACAAAUCAACAUUAGAUCAACCAAUUAGCUCUCGUUUUAACUAAACUAUUCAAGAAAUUAUGCAACCAUAAAGUUAUUAGAUUGAAUCUAAUUAAACCAUGAAGUAAUGAACAUAUUUAAAUCGAAAAUCGAUAUGAUAAUACUCUUGUUGAAGAUUAGAUGUUUGUGUCUAUCUAGUUAACCCUUACAAACAAAUUUACACAAGAAAUAUAGAAACAAAGGAGAACCGUACAAGCAAAGCCACAAAAAAAUUCUACAAACAAAGCAGGAUACCCUACAAAUAAAGCCACACAACAAAUACAAAAUGGACAAAAAAAUUAAAAGCAAAACCCUGCAUAAAGAACCCAUGACAAGAAUUCAGAAGCAAAAUCCUACAAUCAAAGUUAUAUAAGAGUUCCAAAGUAGAACCCUAAAGCAAAGUCACACAAUAAUAAACCCAACAAAUACUUUCGUUGAUUCAAAUAUAUUUCUUAAAUUACUAAAAAGGUAUUUAAAUUUCCCAUGUUUAUUUUAACUUUAAUUUUUCAACAAUCAACUAUUUUAUUCAAAUAUAUUUGUUAUAUUACUAAAAGAGUAUUAAAAUGUAAAAAUGACAUUUUUUCAUUAUUUUGUAAUAGAAGGUAAACUAAAAUAAACAUCCAUUUUUUGUUUAUGCAUAUCAAAAUAUAUUUUUUGGAUACUAGCAGAUGAAUACAUGUAUUCUCAAAUGAAUCUAAGAUGUCAUGUAUUGGUGGUAACAGUCAAAUGAAUCUAAGAUGUCAUGUAUUGGUGGUAACAGUCAAAUCUAAGAUGUCAUGCAUAUCAAAAUAUAUUUUUUGGAUACUAGCAGAUGAAUACAUGUAUUCUCAAAUGAAUCUAAGAUGUCAUGUAUUAGUAGUUGGGACCGACAACUAGCAAAUUAUCAAUGUAAAAAUGUUUAAUUACGCAUACUAAAUUUUUAUAUUGGUGGUAACAGUCAAAUCUAAAAAUACCCUAGCUGACUUUUUACGUCAUGAAAACUCAUUAAAAAUGAAUAUUUUCAAUAGAUUUAAAUAAAUAAUAAAUGGGAGGUUGCUUAUAAAAGCAACAAAUUAUAAAACAAAUUAUAUAUAUAUAUAUAUGGGUGAAACUCACUAAGCUUUGGAUUACAGUUGUUGAUUUUAUGGUUUCAGGUACAUCAGAUAAUCGGGGCAAGACAAAGACGCAAUUGUACAGAUCAUCUCAUAUAAUAGUUCACUACACCAUAGCAACAUCUUAUACAUAAGGAUACAUAACACAAUCUAAUGAGUCAAGGGUAAUCAGUCUGAUGACACAGUUUUUACUUCUUAAAAAUCAAAAAAUUCCUAUGAUUUUUGAGAUGUUACAUAGAACCCUUUAAAUAAAGCCACACAAGAACCAAACAAAGAAAAAGCUUACAAACAAAGCCACACAAUAACUCUACAUAAAAAGAAAAUCCUUACAAACAAAGCCACAAGGUUACUCUAUAUAAAAAGUAAAUCCCUACAAACAAAGCCACACAAGAAAAUGUAAACAAAGCAUAACCUUAUAAUUAAAAUCCACAAGAACCCUUCAAACAAAGCAUAACCAAUGAAUAAAGCCACACAAGAAAUAGAGCAUAGACUUCAAAGUAAAACCCCACAAACUAAACCCAAGACAUGAAUUCCAAAGCAGAAUCUUACAAACAAAGCCACAUAAGAACCAAAGUAGAACCCCAGAAAGAAAGUAAAAUCAACAAACAAAGUCAAACAAGAAAUUCAAAGUAAAACCCUACAAACUAACUAUGACAUUAAUACCAAAGCAGAAUCGUACAAACAAAGCCACACAAGAAACAAAGUGGACAAACAGAACCACACAAGAACUCACUACAAACAAAGUAGAACCUUAUAAACAAAACUACUCUACGAACAAAGUAGAACCUUACAAACAAAAUAGAACCCUACAAACAAAGCCAUACUAAAUAUAAAUAAAGAUCCAUAAAAACAAAGCCAUAUAAGAACUCUAAAAACAAAGCACAACUUUACAAAAAAAGUACAACCCUACAAACCAACCAAAACCGGUACAACCAAUGUAGAAUCCUACUAACAAGACCACACAAGAAAGGGACACAAAUUCAAAAAUAGAACCCUACAAAUUGAACUAAAGACAUGAAUUAGAAUGCAAAAUCCUACAAACAAAACCACAUAAGAACUUUCUACAAAAAAAGUAGAACCUUAUAAACAAAGCUACUCUACUAACAAAGAGAAACCCUGCAAACAAACCCACAAAAAAACUCUACAGAUAAAGUAGAACCCUACAAACAAAGCAAAUUGACAUACAAAACCACAUAAGAAAAGGGACAGGAAUUCAAAAGUAGAACAUAAAGAAAAUUGAAAUGUUGUAAAUAAAACUGAAAAUGCGAUGCAUAACCUCAUAUACUUUUCAAAGUUGUAGUAGAAAGAAACAUACUAAAACUGCAAUGCUAAAAUGAGGUUGAUUUUUCAACAUGAUAUAUGCUUAAAAUAAGAAAAGUGAAAGUACAAAGCUAUGACUAACAGAUUUUUUAAAGUAAAAUGACUUGAUAAUGAAAUUUUUUGAAUGUUUUAAUGUAGUAACAUAAAGAAAAAAGCAAUGCUAUAAAUGAGUUGAGUUUUCAAGGAGAAAUGUUCUUAUAAGAAAAAAACUGUAAAUACAAUGCUAUAAUUGUUAGAUUUUUCAAAGUAAAUUGCCUUGAUAAUAAAUUUUUUUUUGAUAGAUUAAAGAAAAAUAACUUGAUAAGAUUUUAAAAAAAAAGUUGCAAUGUUGUAACUAAAAGAAAACAACUGGGUUGAUUUUUCAAAGUAAAACGCCUUUAUAAAAAGAUUUGAUAAGACUUUUUAGACUUAUAAUUGGUAGAUUUUUCUAAGUAAAAGGUUGUAAUGAUGGAUUGUUCAAAAAGAUAAAGUGCUUUUAUGAGCAAAACUACAUGGUAAAUUUUCUAAAGUAAAAUGCCUUGUUAAAAUAAAAUAUGAAAGUAAUAAUGUUGAAAAAAACGAAUACUGCAAAAUGCAAAGCUAUAAAUGGGUUGACUUUUGAAAGAUAAAUGUGCUUAUUAUAAAGAAAACUGAAAGUACAAUGCUAUAGAGAGUAGGUUUUCCAAAGUAAAAUGGUUUGAUAUAAAAAAUGAUAAAAUUUUCAAGGUAAAAUGCUUCGAAAGAAAAAAAAAAAAGAUUUUUCAAAAUAAAAUCUCUAGAUACGAAAUAUUUUCAAUGAAUUUUUGAAAAUAACAUGUGUUUUUAUUAAGAAAACAGAAUGUCCAAAACUAUAAUUAAUAAAGUUUUCAACAUAAAAUGUCUAAAUAAGUAAAAAAUGUAAAAAUUUUUGUAAAAAAUGUCUUGAUAAAAAAUUAUCCGAAAGUAAAAAUGUUUUAUUAGAAAAAAAAAACUAAAAAAAGCAAUGCUUUAAUUGGAAUGAUAUUUAAAAAGAAAUGUGUUUUAAUUAAGAAAAUGGAAUUUCUCAAAGUAAAAUGCCUAAAUAAGUAAAAAUGUAGAGAUUUUUGUAAAAAAAUGUCUUGAUAAAAAAAAUAUCUGAAAGCAAACAUUAUUUUUUAGAAAAAAAAAUUAAAAAAAUGAAAUGCUUUAUAUGGAAUGAUUUUUCAAAAAAUGUGCUAUUAUUAAUAAAACAGAAAGUACAAUGCUACCAUUGGUAAAUCUUUCACAGCAAAAUGCCUAGAUAAAUAAAAAAUGUCUUGAUAAAAAAAAUAUCUGCAAGUAAACAUGUUUUAUUAGAAAAAACUAAAAAAAUGCAAUGCUUUAAUUGGGAUGAAUUUUCAAAAGAAAUGUGUUUUUAAAAAGAAAAUUGAAUGAACAAUGCUCUAAAUUGUAAAAUUUUCAAAGUAAAAUGCCUAGAUAAGUGAAAAUUGUAAAGAUAUUUUAAAAACAUGUCUUCAUAAAAGAAUAUUUGAAAGUAAAAUAGGAGUAAUUGAAAAAAAUAAACUUAAAAAAUGUAAUGCUUUAAUUGGGAGGAUUUUCUAAGGGAAAUGUGCUUUUGGAAAGAGAGUUGAAAGUAAGAUACAAUACUUGGUAAAUUUUUCAAAGUAAAAUGCCAGUAAAAGACGUAAAGUACAAUGCUGAAAUUUGUAAAAAAAAAAAUUCAAAGUAAAAGACCUUAAUAAGUAAAACACAUAAAGACUUUUUAAAAUGUCUUGAUAAAAAAAAUUGAAAGUAACAUUAUUGUAAGAAGAAAAAAAAAGUGCAAAGCUUUGAUUAGGAUAAUUUUUCAAAGGUAAAGUAUGCCUUUAAUAAGAAAUCUUAUUACAAUGCUAUAACUGUUAAAAAUUUCAACGUAAAACGCCUAGAGAAGAAAAUAAUGUAAGAACUUUUUAACAAAAUGUCUUGAUAUGAAAAUAUUUGAAAGUCACAACGUUGUAAAGAAGAAAAAAAACUAAAAAAGUACAAAGCUUUUAAUUGCGAUGAUUUUUCAAAGGAAAAUGUGAUUUUAAUAUGAAAAUUUGAAGUAACAUUGUUGUUACAGAAAAGGUCCAAAAAGUGCAAUGUCAUAAUUGAGUUGAUCUUUAAAAAUAAAAUGCUUUGUAUAUAAAAAAAAACAACAACAAAAUCUAAAAUGCAUAGAUAUGAAAUGCUAGUCAUUGUAAACUACCAUAGAAAAACAAGAAUCAAGAAGACAAUAAAAUAUAAAGAUGUUUGGUAGAGCAUACCCGGAAUAAGACUUGAAAGUAUUUGUUUGCUAUCUCUGAGUAAACUUAUAUUGUCAAUGAAAUUAUUCAAAUUAAAAAAGAUUGAAAACAGCAGAACAUACCUAGCACUGAAAAAGAAUGCCCAGACCUCAACUUAAGUGUCAAAAGCCUUCAGUUUCACCUUCAAAUUGGUGCCUGUUAUACAGAAUCAAAAAACAAAUAACAAAAGAUUAACUUCACCUUAAAAAAGCAUACAAUUUUCUUCCAGCUCUUGUAAACGGAUUGAAUUUUGGUAAAAACAAAAGGAAUGGUAAUUACUCACAUAUAAAAUUAUGGGUAAUUUGCAGUUAAAUAGCAAUGUACUUUACUGUUUUAAAAAACAAUAUGCAUAAAAAAAUGAAGUACAAUGCCUAUUGAUGAAAAAUGAGUAUAGCAUGUAGUUUACCUCACAAUCAGUUUCAAUGAUGCUUAUUGCAUUUGAAGGCUUUGAUUCAAUUAUAUCAAUGUAGAAUUUACUGUUGUUAACAAACAGGACAAGGUUCUCAGUGUGGUCUCCAAUCUGCAUUGAAAUUAGGAAUGGAAUCUAUUAAUGAAAAUAAGAAAUUCAGGGAAUCGGAAUUGUAAUCUGUCACAUUUUUGGUUUCCUAUUAUUCUUCAAGUUAGGGUUGCAAAUAGGAGGGAAUGGAGGCUUAAAAUUUGGGAUUGGAGUGGGGUAGUAAUGUAGUAUAGGUAUUAGUUACUUAGUUUAUACUUUUCAGAUUCUAAGUUCAGUACUUAUCUACUCAUUUAUCCCACUUUUUACUUAGUCAUUCCAUUCCAACAAAAAUGAAGCACUCCAAAAGAGAAUUAUGGUAGCUUUAGAACCCAAUCCUGAUAUUUCUCAAACUCAAGAUUGUUUGACAAAGUCCACCAUUUGUUUGUUUGACAUCAAAACUCAAGAAUGCAAACAGAACACCAAAAAGUGAACAAAACUAGGUAACAACAAGAACAUGACAACUUACCAUAUUUACUCUUCUGGUGAGACCAAUCCUGCAACCUAUAUGAAAAACAAAAUCAAUAAGUAGAACAACACGCAUAAAGGAUUUUUUUUUAAAAGUAACAGAUGCACACUGAAAAACCAUAAAUUCAAAAUCGAAAUUGUUAGUUAUAUUUAGUGAUCCGUUUUUCACACUAAACCAAAGUGCAUAGGUGAAAUCGGAGUAAUCAGAUUCAGAUUCCAAGAUUAUCCACACCUUAAUAUCAUAUGAUUAACUAAAAAAAUCAAGGGAAAAACAAUUAACAUUUUCUUAAUUUCAAGAAAACAAAAGUGGAUGCUAGAGAAAAAGUUGUAUUGGCUUUUAAUAUAAAAACUACCUACCACCUUUUACAAAACAACAUGCAUAAAACACACCAUAUACAAAUGAUUUGAUGAAAAUUAGUAACAAAUAAAUAAAUAAUUUCUAACUACAUAGCAGUAUAAAAUGAGGCAAAUGAAAAAAUAGAUACAUACUACAGAUAAUCAUGUGGCUACAAGAAAUUUAAACAAAAAAAUAGUAACAGUGGCAUAAAUGUUUAAGAACAUAAAACUUAGUUAAAAUCAAAUCAGAUAAUUAACUCAUAAAAGAUAUUGAAACAACUAAACUAAAAAUAUUUACAAAAUAAAACAGGUAAAUACAUCAAUCAAAGCAAGUAAACAAAGUAACGGAUAUAAAGAAAGUAAGAAACAGGAAUGACAAACCUGCCCAUAUGCAAAUGUGGCUUCUGAACCUGAUUUUUCUAAAACAAUUAUUAUCAACAACUAAAAACAAUUAACCUUCAACAGAGCAUACACAAAUGUAAUCAAUAAAUUACAUUUCAAAACCUGUCAUAAGCAUAUAUAUGCUGUACAAUGCUUUUAUUGAUAGGUUUUCAAUGUAAAAUGUCCUGAUAAAAAAAAAUAUUUGAAUGUACUUAACACAAAGAAAAUGGAAUACUGCAUUGGGUUGACUUUACAAGAGAGAUGUGCUAGGAUUGGUAGACUUUUCCAAGUAAAAUGCCAAGAUAAGAAAAAAAUGUAAAGAUUUUUUAAAGUAAAAUGUCUUGAUAAGAAAUUUUUUCAAAGUAACAAUGUUGUAGUCGAAAAAAAAACUAAUAUGUGCAAUGUUAUAAUUGGGUUCAUUUUCAUAGUAAAAGACCUUGGUAAGAAAAUUUUGAAGCAGAAAGAAAACUGAAAAAUCAAAUGCUAUAAUUGGAUUAAACAUUCAAAGAAAAUGUGUUUAUUCAAAGAAAACUAAAAAUACAACGCUUUAAAUUGUAGCUUAUAAUAAGAAAAUUAAAAGAACAAUGCUAAAAAUUGUAGAUUUUUCAAACUAAAAUGCCAUGGUAAAAAACUUUUUGAUAUCUACAAUGUUGUAAUAAAAAGAAAUCCGAAAAGCAUAGUCCUGUAAUUAAUAGAUUUUUCAAAAUAAAAUGAUGUGGAAAAAAAUGCAAUGCUAUAAAUCGUAGAUUUUACAAAUAACAUGCCUUUAUUAGAAAAAAAUGAUGGAUUUUUCAAAGAAACAUGACAUUAUUAGAAAAAAAAAAGUUACAAUGCAAUAACAGAAAGAAAAUUGAAAAGUGCAAUGCUAUAAACAGGUUGAUUUUUCAAAGAUAAAUAUGCUUAUAAUAUUAAAACUGAAAAUGCAAUGCAAUAAUUCAUAUACUUUUCAAUGUUGUAGUAGAAAGAAACAUAUUGAAACUGCAAUGCUAAAAUGGGGUUGAUUUUUCAACAUGAUAUGUGCUUAAAAUAAGAAAAGUGAAAGUACAAUGCUAUGACUAACAGAUUUUCAAAGUAAAAUGAAUUGAUCAUGAAAUUUUUUGAAUGUUUUAAUGUAGUAACAUAAAGAAAAAAGCAAUGCUAUAAAUGAGUUGAGUUUUCAAGGGGAAAUGUUCUUAUAAGAAAAAACUGUAAAUACAAUGCUAUAAUUGUUAGAUUUUUCAAAGUAAAAUGCAUUGAUAAUAAAAGAAUUUUAUAGAUUAAAGUAAAAUGACUUGAUAAGAUUAAAAAAACAAUUAAAAAAAAAAGUUGUAAUGUUGUAGCUAAAAUAAAACAAUUGGGUUUCAAGUAAAAAGAUUUGAUAAGACUUUUUAAACUUAUAACUGAUAGACUUUUCAAAGUAAAAAGUUGUAAUGAUGGAUUGUUCAAAAAAAUAAAGUGCUUUGAUGAGCAAAAAACCAGGAUAAAUUUUCUAAAGUAAAAUGCCUUGAUAAGAAAAAAGUUGAUAGACCUUUUAGACUUGAUAAUUUAAAAUAUGAAAGUAAUAAUGUUGAACAAAAAGAAUACUGCAAAAUGCAAAGCUAUAAAUGGGUUGACUUUUGAAAGAUAAAUGUGCUUAUAUAAAGAAAACUGGAAGUACAAUGCUAUAGAGGGUAGGUUUUCCAAAGUAAAAUGGUUUGAUAUAAAAAAUGAUAAAUUUUUCAAGGUAAAAUGCUUUGAAAGAAAAAAAAUAGAUUCUUCAAAAUAAAAUCUAUAGAUACGAAAAUUUUUCAAUGGAUUUUUCAAAAUAGCAUGCCUUGAAAUGAAAAUAAUAAUUAUUUUUUCAAACUAAAAAAAUGGGAUAGAUUUUUACAAGUAAAGUGACUUGAUACGAUAAAAUGCAUUGAUAGCAAAAAAGUGCAAUAAUAAAAAUGGAAAUUUUUUAAAAUAAAAUGCGCUAAUAAGAAAAAAAUUUUGGAAGUUACAAUGCUAUAUAGUGCAAAGAUUUAGUUUGUAUAACUUUUCCAAGAGAAAUGAGCACUUAAUAAGAAAACAGAAAGUAUAAUGCUAUAAUUGGUAAGAUUUUAAAAGUAUAAUGCCUAGAUAAGUAAAAACUGUAAAAAAUAUUUAAUAAAAUGUCUUGAUAAAAGAAUAUUUGAAAGUAAAAAUAUUGUAAUAAAAAAAAUCUUAAAAAGUGCAAUGCAAUUGGGAUGAUAUUUCAAAUGGAAAUGUGCUUUUAAUAAUAUAACUCAAAGUACAAUGCUAUAAUUCUUACAAAGGAAAAUCUGUUUUUAAUAAUAAAACUAAAGCUACAAAGCUAUAACUGGUAAAUAGCUAAAAGUAGAAGGCUUAGAUAUGUAAAAAAUGUAAAGUUUUUUUUUUAAAAAAAAACUGUUUUAAUAAAAGAAUAUUUGAUAUUAAAAUGUUAUAAAAAAAUUAAAAAAGUGAAAAGUUAUAAUUGGGACGUAUUUAAAUAGAAAAUGUGCAUUAUCAAGAAAAAAGAAAGUACAAGACUAUAAUUGAUAAAAUUUUCAAAAAAAAAAAAUGUCUGAUAUAUAAACAUUUAAAGAUUUUUUAAUAAAAUGUGCAAAACUUUAUUGGAAUAAUAAAAAAAAAUUUAAAAAAAAGCAAUGCUUUGACUGGGAUAAUUUUUCAAAAGAACAGUGCUUUUAAUAAGAAACCUGAAAGUACAAUGCUAUAAUUGCUAAAUUUUUCAAAGUAAAAUGCCUAAAGAAGUAAAAAAUGUAAAGAAUUUUGUAAAACAUGUCCUUAAAAAAAAAUAAUUGCAAUGCUAUAAUUGCUAAAAAAUUUGAAGUAAAAUGCCUAAAUGGUUUAAAAAUGUAAAGAUUUUUGUAAAAAAAUCUUGAUAAAAGAUUAUUUGAAAGUAAAAAUGUUAUAAUAAUAAUUAUAAUAAAUUAAAAAAAAAACUAAAAAAAAAACUAAAAAAAUGCAAUGCUUUUAUGGAGAUGAUUUUUCAAAAAGAAAGAUACCAAGAUAAAUAAAAAUAUGUAAAGAUUUUCUACAAUACUAUAAGUGUUAAAUUUCUCAAAAAAAAGAUACCUAGAUAAAUAAAAAUAUGUAAAGAUUUUCUACAAUGCUAUAAGUGUAAAAUGUAUCAAAAGAAAGAUACCUAGAUAAAUAAAAAUAUGUAAAGAUUUUUAUAAAAAAAUGUUUUAAUAAAUGAAGAUUUGUAAGUAAAAAUGAUGUGAUAGUAAAAAAAACAGAAUGCUUUAAUUGGGAUAAGUUUUCAAAAGAAUGCUUUUAAUAAGAAACUCGAAAGUACAAUGCUAUAAUUGCUAAAAAAUUUAAAGUAAAAUAUCUUAAGAAGUUAAAAAAGUGAAGAUUUUUGUAAAAAAAAUCCAUAUUAAAGAAUAUUUGAUAGUAAAAAUGUUGUGAUAUUAAAUGUAAAGAUUUUUGAAAAAAAUGCCUAGAUAAGUAAAAAAAAUGUAAAUAUUUAUAUAAAAAAUGUCUUGAUAAAAGAAUAUGUUGAAAGUAAAAAUGCUGUAAUACGAAAAAAUAACUAAAAAAAUGCAAAGCUUUAAUUGGGAUGAUUUUUUUCAAAUGAAAUGUGAUUUUAGUAAAAAAAAAAUGAAAAUACAGCGCUAUAAUUGGUAAUUUUUCAAAGUAAGAUGCCUAGAAAAGUAGGAAAUAUAAAGAAUUUUGUAAAAAAUGUCUUGAAAAAGAAUAUUUGCAAGUAAAAAUGAUGUAAUAAUAAUAAAUAAAUAAAUAAAUCCAAUGCUUUAAUUGGGAUGAGUUUUCAACCGAAAUGUGCUUUUAAUUACAAAAUUGAAAGUACAAUACUUUACUUGGUAAAGUUUUCAAAGUAAAAUACCUUAUGAAGUUAAAAUGUGAACAUUUUUGUAAAACAAUUCUUGAUAAAAGAAUAUUUGAUAGUAAAAAUGUUGUAAUAAUAAAUGCAAAGAUUUUUGUAAAAAAUGCCUAGAUAAGUAAAAAAUGUAAAGACUUAUAUAAAAAUGUUUUGAUAAAAUAAUAUUUGAAAGUAAAAAUGUUGUAAUAGAAAAAAAAAAAAAAAAAAAAAAACUAAAAAAACUAAAAAAACGCAAUACUUUAAUUGGGAUGAAUUUUUCAAACGAAAUGUGCUUUUAAUAAGAAAAUUAAAAAUACAGUGUUAUAAUUGGUAAAAUUUUCAAAGUAAAAUGCCUAGACAAGUAAAAAUGUCUUGAUAAAAGAGUAUGUGAAAGUAAAAAUGUUGUAAUAGUAAAAAAAAUUUGCAAUGCUUUAAGUAGCAUGAUUUUCAAAGUAAAAUGCCUGAAAAAUGUUUUAUUUUUGUAAAAAAUGUUCUAAUAAAAGAAUAUUUGCAAGUAAAAAUGAUGAAAGAAUAAAAAAUAAAUAAACUAAAAAAAUGCAAUUUUAAGUUGGAUGAUUUUGUAAAAAAUGUUCUAAUAAAAGAAUAUUUGCAAGUAAAAAUGAUGAAAGAAUAAAAAAAUAAAAAAUAAAAUGAAAAAUGAAAAAUAAAAAAUGCAAUGCCUAAAAAAAUGUUUAAUUUUUGUAAAAAAAAUAUUCUGAUAAUAGAAUAUUUGCAAGUAAAAAUGAUGAAAGAAUUAAAAAAAUGCAAUGCUUUAAGUAGGAUGAUUUUAUAAAAGAUAUGUGCUUUUAAUAAAAAAAAAAAAAAAAAAAAAAAAAAAAAAAAAAAAAAAAAAAAACUAAAAAUAAUAAAAUUUUUANCUAAAAGUACAAAGCUAUAAUUAAUAAGAUUUUCAAAGUAAAAUGCCUAAAAAAUGUUUGAUUUUUGUAAAAAAAUGUUCUAAAAAAGAAUAUUUGCAUGUAAAAAUGAUGAAAGAGUAAAAAAAACUAAAAAAAUGCAAUGCUUUAGCUGAGAUACUUUUUCAAAAAAAAUGUGUUUUAAUAAGAAAAAUUUAGUGUAUAAUGCUAUAAUCGAGAACAGUUUUUUUAAAAAAAAAGAUGCCUAGAUAAAUAAAUAAAAAUGUAAAGAUUUUUGUAAAUAUUUUCUUUGAUAAAUGCAAAUAAAAAUAAUGUAAUACUAAAAAAACUAAAAAACCUUCAAGGCUUUAAUUUGGAUGAUUUUUCAAACAUAAUGUGCUUUUAAUAAGCAAAUUAAAAGUGCAAUGCUAUAAUUGGUAAAUUUUUCUAAGUAAAAUGCUUACAUAAGUAAAAAAAAAAAAAAAAAAAGCAAAGAUUUUUGUAAAAAAUGUCUUGAAAAAUGAAUAUUUGUAAGUAAAAAUGAUGUAAUAGUUAAAAAACUAAAAAAAUGCAAUAAGAAAAUUGUACAAUGCUGUAAUUGGUAAAAUUUUCAAAGUAAAAUGCCUAGAUAAGUGAAACAUGUCUUCAUAAAAGAAUAUUUGAAAGUAAAAAUGGUGUAACAAAAAAAUAAACUAAAAAAAUUGUGUAAUACUUGGUAAAUUUUUCAAAGUAAAAUGCCUAGAUAAGUAAAAGAUGUAAAGACUUUUUAAUAAAAUGUCUUGAUAAAAUAAUCUUUGAAAUUAAAAUUGUUUUAAUAGGAAAAAAAAACUAAACAAAUUCAAUGUUAUAUUUGGGAUUAUUUUUCAAAAAAAAAUAUGCUUUUAAAAAGAAAGCUGAAAGUACAAUGCUAUAAUUGGUAAAAAAAAUUAAUUUAAAAUGCAUAGGUGUAAAACAUUUAUAAAUUUUAUAAUAAAAUAUCUUGAUCAAAAUUUUUGAAAGUAACUAUGUUUCUGAAAAGGUGCAAAGCUUUGAUUGGAAUGAUUUUUCAAAGUAAAUGUGCUUUUAAUAAGAAAAGUUAAAGUACAAUGCAAUAAUUGAUAAAAUUUUCAAAGUAAAAUGCUUACAUAAGCGAAAACUGUAAAGAUUUUUGUAAAAAAAUGUCUUGAUAAAGGAAUAAUUGUAAGUUAAAAUGUUGAAAUAGUAAAAAAAACUAAAAAAUGCAAUGCUUUAAUUGGGAUAUUUUUCAAAAGAAAUGUGCUUUUAAUAAAAACAAUGAAAGUACGGUGCUACAUUUGGUAAUUUUUUCAAAGUAAAAUGCCUAGAUAAGUAAAAAUGGACAUAUUUUUGAAAACAAUUUCUUAUAAAAGAUAUUUGAAAGUAAAAAAGUUGUAAUAGUAACAAUGUUGUAAAAGAAAAAAAAAACCUAAAGAACUGCACAGCUUUAAAUGGGAUAUUUAUUUUAAGGAAAAUGUACUUUUAAUAAGAAAACUUAGUACAAUGCUAUAGUUGUUAAAAAUUUCAAAGUAAAAUGCCUAGAAAAGAAAAUAAUGUAAGAACUUUUUAACAAAAUGUCUUGAUAUGAAAAUAUUUGAAAGUAACAAUGUUGUAAAGGAAAAAAAAGGUACAAAGGUUUUAAUUGCGAUGAUUAUCAAAGGGAAAUGUGAUUUUAAUAAGAAAUUUGAAAGUAACAUUGUUGUUACAGAAAAGAACUAAAAAAAGUGCAAUGUCAUAAUUGACUUGAUUUUUAAAGAGAAAAUGCUUUUUUAUAAAAAAAACAGAAUCUAAAAUGCAUAGAUAUGAAAUGCUGAUGAAUGUAAACUAUCAUACAAAAACAAGAAUGAAGAAGACACAAGAAAAUAUAAAGAUGUUUAGUAUAAUUUAAGAAAAUACCUGGAAUAAGACCUGAAAGUAUUUUGGUAUCUCUCAGUAAACUUGGAGCAUAAGGAAGUUUCAGUAUCUCCACCAUAACUGACAAGAACUGAGAACACACAACAAAAUAUACAAAAUUUUAGUAUCACUCUCAAUUGUAUCUUACAAUGUCAAUAUUGAGUUUAUUCAAAUUGGAAAAGAGUGAAAACAGUAGAACAUACGCAUCACUAAAAAAGAAUGCUCGAAUCUCAACUUAAAUGUCAAAAGCCUUGGAGUUUCAUAUUCAAAUAAUUGGUGCCUGUUAUACAGAAAAAAAAUUUAACAAAAGAUUAACUUAACCCUAAAAGAGGUAGGUUUUCAAGAUCACAAACAUUGGUAUUGUUAAAUGCUGGCAACACAAAGUUCAGUAAGAAACCUUUAAUUUCAUUUUCAAAUAAUUGGUGUCUGAUUCUAGGGUUUUUUUCAGAUUUUUUGUUUAGUUUUCCAUAAAAAACAGGACACUUCAACACACAAAUACCCUAAUAUUAAAUGGUAAGAGUUAACUAUAAGCAUGUUGCCAUUAUGGGAAAAAGUACAUAAGUACAUUGCUAUUAUGCGUAAAAAAUGAAGUACAACACCUACCUUGAUAAAAAUAAAAUAAAAUAAAAUAAAAAGUAUAGCAUGUUGCUUCCUACAUCUUUCCCUAAAAUCAUCAGAUAACAUAAGAUCAAAAAUAUAAAACUGCUUGUAAUCAAAAGGAGGAGCAAAAUCUACCUCACAAUCAGUUUCAAUGGUACUUAUUGGAUUUGAAGGCUUUGAUUCAAUUAUAUCAAUGUAGUAUUUCUUGUUGUAUUAUCCCACAAUGAUGCUAACAACAGGACAAAGUGUUGUGUCUAAUCUGCAUUGAAAACAAGAAAAUAUUAGGGGCGUUUUGGUCUGUUUUUUGAAGAAUGGAAUCUGUCAAUGAAAAUAAGAAAUUCAGGGAAUCGGAAUUGUAAUCUGUCAUGUUUUCGGUUUCGUAUUAUUCUUCAAUUUAGGGUUGCAAAUAGGAGGGAAUGUAGGCUUAAAUUUGGGAUUGUAGUUACUUAGUUUAUCUUUUUUAGAUUCUAAGUUCAGUAAUUAUCUACUCAUUUAUCCAACUUUUUACUUUGUCAUUCCAUUCCAAUCCUGAUAUUUCUCAAACUCAAGAUUGUUUGACAAAGUCCACCAUUCGUUUGUUUGACAUCAAAACUCAAGAAUGCAAACAGAACACCAAAAAGUAAACAUAACCAGGAAACAACAAGAGCAUGAGAUCUCACCAUAUUUACUCUUCUGGCGACACCAAUGGUGAAAAACGAAAUCAAUAAGUAGAGCAACACGCAGAAAGAAUUUUUUUUUUAAAGAAUAGAUGCGCACUACAAAACCACAAAUUCAAAAUCGAAAUAGUUACUUAUUUUGGUGAUCGAUUUUUCACACUAAAUCAAAAUGCAUAGCUAAAAUCGGAGUAGAUCGAUUCAGAAUCUAAGAUUACGCACAGCUUAAUAUCAUAUGAUUAACUACAAAAUAAAUAAAUAAAUCAAGAAGGAAGAAACAGUGUUACCGAAUAAACAAGUGUGAAGAGAUUCGAAUUUUUGCAGGAGAUUUGGAGAGCGGAAAGGCUUGGGGAAAGAGAAAUUGUGGUUGGAGUUUGAUAGAAAUAGGGUUUGGGGGGAAGACAUAAAGGCAAAAAAAAUAUACGUCGGGGUCGUAGUGUGGAUGACACAUUUCCUAAAUCAAAACCAGAAGAAUUUCGUGAAUUGAUUAUAUCGUUUCUAUUAAUUUGGUUUAGAGAAAGGAAUACCUGAAGAAAAAAUUGAGAGCAUCGAGAACGCUUGCUCUCCGACAUCAUCGUCUGUUCCACUGUCGCCAAUUUCUAGAGAUUAGUUAUGUUUUGGAGGUGGCAUUGUUUAUUGGAACCGGAGAAAACGACUAAAAUCAAGUGUUAUUCUCGGAACCCAAGAACCUACAAAGGAAAUCAACAUAUAGUGUGUUUAAAACCUAUAGAAACGCCAAAAAGACGAAGAGCAUACCAACAACAAACACCUGAGGAAAACGAUUAAAGGAGUUCAUGAAAACAAAGGGGAAGAAGAAUAUGAAGAGU